AUAUUAUAUAUAUAUAUAUGAG
Molecule: small nuclear RNA, 22 nt
Filed under: Arabidopsis thaliana (thale cress)
Lineage: Eukaryota; Viridiplantae; Streptophyta; Magnoliopsida; Brassicales; Brassicaceae
Description: snRNA_15482
Source: RNAcentral